UAUGAAGCCCCUGUACUUAUUUAUUUGUGUGUUCUGAGAGGCACUCUGCUCUUGCACCAUCCUAUUUUUCAGCAGGUUUUUAGAGGCGGUUUAUCACAUCACAUGGUAACAAGGCAGAAUUGGGAGGAGAGUUCAUCUCAGGUUCUAGAUUACAUCAGGUUUUUAGAGGCGGUUUAUCACAUCACAUAGUAACAAGGCAGAGGAGAGUUCAUCUCAGGUUCUAGAUUACAUCAGGUUUUUAGAGGCGGUUUAUCACAUCACAUAG
Molecule: long non-coding RNA, 265 nt
Organism: Strongylocentrotus purpuratus (purple sea urchin)
Lineage: Eukaryota; Metazoa; Echinodermata; Echinoidea; Camarodonta; Strongylocentrotidae
Exons: 2
Source: RefSeq, a predicted model, not a curated record